This is a transfer RNA of Faecalibacterium sp. CAG:82, 84 nucleotides long. It matches the Rfam family "tRNA". From Rfam's summary of the family: Transfer RNA (tRNA) molecules are approximately 80 nucleotides in length. Their secondary structure includes four short double-helical elements and three loops (D, anti-codon, and T loops). NCBI's taxonomy places the organism in Bacteria, Bacillati, Bacillota, Clostridia, Eubacteriales, Oscillospiraceae. The record is from Rfam.
GCCACUGUGGUGAAAUUGGCAGACACGAGGGACUUAAAAUCCCUUUCUGGAAACAGAGUGCGGGUUCAAGCCCCGCCGGUGGCA